GCCUAGUUAGCUUAGUUGGUUGUAAGCCCUAGGCCGCGGGUUCGAUUCCCGCCCGGGGCA
Molecule: transfer RNA, 60 nt
Filed under: Diaphorina citri (Asian citrus psyllid)
Lineage: Eukaryota; Metazoa; Arthropoda; Insecta; Hemiptera; Psyllidae
Rfam family: tRNA
About the family: Transfer RNA (tRNA) molecules are approximately 80 nucleotides in length. Their secondary structure includes four short double-helical elements and three loops (D, anti-codon, and T loops).
Source: Rfam by way of RNAcentral